AAGAAGAAUAGAAAGAGAGGUGGAACAAUGAUAACCACAAUUUAUUAAAUUAUUUAUUUAAUAUUUCUUUUGAUAAAUAACUCUCAGCAGGUCACACAGGUUAAAUUGAAGGGUAAUAUAACAUUAUUACAUAAGAUACAUGUACCGUAGAUGAAAGUUAGGGGUUUUAGUUAUGUAAUGAAUUAUAAUUUGUUUGAAGGUUAUACAGCCUAAUUUCCCUAACUUUAAUCAUAUACAAAAAAAAAAAUUCUGUAGAAAAAAAAUAUCUAUCAUGCAUAUAUACAACGAAAUAAAGGGAUUGUACAUUCAGUUCAAUAAUUUAAACUUUUAAGUAUGCGAUAUAGAUUAUGCAGAAUGCACUUAGUCACCCACUUAAUGGAAAUCGUCAAGUCAGUAUGAGCUUGGUACCACUACCAACUAAAUAUAUCUGAGUCCACAUAAAAACACAAAUAAGGCACUAAAUGAUGAAAAUUAAUAAAGAACUAGAUUUUGACCCGCGCUUAAAAGCGCGGGUUAUUUUUCAGUUGAUAAAAGUAUAUGAUAUGAAUUAGUAUUUUAGUUUUGUUAUAUAUUAUUAUGUUACAAAAUUUUAUUAUGUCAAAAAAAAUUAUUAUUAUGUAAUUAUAUUUUUAAUCGUUUGAUUACUUUUUUCAAAAAAAAUUAUAUGGAUUGAUCAGAUUCAGUGCGUCUAUUAUUUUAAAAUAAAUUAUUUUCAAUUAGAUGAGAAUAAUACUUUUAUAUUAAGUUUGGACCCGUCGUCGAACCAGUAAACACGAUGACUUGUGCAUAAGCUGGUUUAGAUUUAAUGAAAACUCGUUAAUUUAAAGGAUGCAAACUUCGAAAAAACAUGCAAUCAAGUGUGACCCGGCAUUUGGUUUACAUGGUAGGAAAAAAAUAAUCUUCAAUAAUAUUUUAAGAGAUGAAUGAAACUUCUAAUAUAUUAAUGUAAUAAAAAAUAAUUUAACGUAAAUAUAUAUAAUUUUGUUUUAACAAAUGAUUUGCUAAAGUGUUUUUUAUUAAAUUUGAUUUUGUAAAUAUUUAAAAUUAUAUAAUCUAAGAUGACAUGAUAUAAUAUGCUGUAUGAUAUAUGCUUUCAUUUUAAUAAUUGAUAUCUAAAUAUUAUAUAUCCAUCUUUGAGCAUAAUAUAUGAUGUAUAUAACGUUAUUGAAUAACAACAAUAACACUGGAUGAUAAUAAAAAAAAUAAUUAGAGAAGUGUAUCAUACAAAAUGAGAAAUAAUAAUAGGAUUUAUUUAAAUUAUUUCAAUUAUUUAUAGUUAUUGUAGUUAAUGGUAGGAUAAAAAAUAAAGAGUUUUAUAUAGAUGUUAUAAAUUCUUUUAUAAAUAUUUUUAAAAAUAUUUUCUUUUAAUAAUAUAAAUUUUCAAUCGCAUCUAUAAUAUAUUCUUAUCAAAAAUCAUCAUAACAAUAUAUUUAGAAUAUAUAUAUUUAGAAUAUAUUGUUAAACUAAAUUAGAGAAAUAUAAGGUAAUUGAUUAUUGCAUAGUUAGAGAAAUAUAAGGUAAUUGACUAUUGCAUAGUUAGAGAAAUAUAAGGUGAGAUCAAAAAAAUAGUUAAGCCUAAUGAAAGGGUCCAACAACUUUUCAUAGGUAGAUUUUUUAAAACUCCUUCCCUUUUAAUAGUAUAGAUUUAGCUUGCUUUGUAAAUUUAUAAAAUAAAGAUAAGAUUAGUUUCGUUUGGU
This 1697-nucleotide long non-coding RNA is filed under the name Brassica rapa (field mustard). Its description in RNAcentral is "long non-coding RNA (BRAP_LNC002947)". The record is from RNAcentral. Lineage: Eukaryota; Viridiplantae; Streptophyta; Magnoliopsida; Brassicales; Brassicaceae.